RNAcentral lists this ribosomal RNA (386 nucleotides) under uncultured bacterium. RNAcentral's name for it is "bacterial SSU rRNA". It matches the Rfam family "Bacterial small subunit ribosomal RNA", at positions 30 to 418 of the family's 1533-position model. The record is from RNAcentral.
AUUGAACGCUGGCGGCAUGCCUUACACAUGCAAGUCGAACGGCAGCACGGACUUCGGUCUGGUGGCGAGUGGCGAACGGGUGAGUAAUGUAUCGGAACGUACCUUUCAGUGGGGAUAACGUAGCGAAAGUUACGCUAAUACCGCAUAUUCUGUGAGCAGGAAAGCAGGGAUCGCAAGACCUUGCGCUGAUUGAGCGGCCGAUAUCAGAUUAGCUAGUUGGUGAGGUAAAGGCUCACCAAGGCGACGAUCUGUAGCGGGUCUGAGAGGAUGAUCCGCCACACUGGAACUGAGACACGGUCCAGACUCCUACGGGAGGCAGCAGUGGGGAAUUUUGGACAAUGGGGGCAACCCUGAUCCAGCCAUGCCGCGUGAGUGAAGAAGGCCUC